GACGAACGCUGGCGGCGCGCCUAACACAUGCAAGUCGAACGGAGCUGAGAGAAGCUUGCUUUUCUUAGCUUAGUGGCGAACGGGUGAGUAACGCGUGAGUAACCUGCCCUGGAGUGGGGGACAACAGUUGGAAACGACUGCUAAUACCGCAUAAGCCCACGGUACCGCAUGGCACUGAGGGAAAAGGAUUUAUUCGCUUCAGGAUGGACUCGCGUCCAAUUAGCUAGUUGGUGAGGUAACGGCCCACCAAGGCGACGAUUGGUAGCCGGACUGAGAGGUUGAGCGGCCACAUUGGGACUGCAACACGGCCCAGACUCCUACGGGAGGCAGCAGUGGGGGAUAUUGCACAAUGGGGGAAACCCUGAUGCAGCGACGCCGCGUGGAGGAAGAAGGUUUUCGGAUUGUAAACUCCUGUCGUUAGGGACGAUAAUGACGGUACCUAACAAGAAAGCACCGGCUAACUACGUGCCAGCAGCCGCCGUAA
Molecule: ribosomal RNA, 484 nt
Filed under: uncultured bacterium
Lineage: Bacteria
Description: partial 16S ribosomal RNA
Rfam family: Bacterial small subunit ribosomal RNA
Source: RNAcentral